Molecule: ribosomal RNA, 468 nt
Filed under: uncultured bacterium
Lineage: Bacteria
Description: partial 16S ribosomal RNA
Rfam family: Bacterial small subunit ribosomal RNA
Source: RNAcentral
GACGAACGCUGGCGGCGUGCUUAACACAUGCAAGUCGAACGGAAAGGCCCUGCUUUUGUGGGGUGCUCGAGUGGCGAACGGGUGAGUAACACGGGAGUAACCUGCCCUUGACUUUGGGAUAACUUCAGGAAACUGGGGCUAAUACCGGAUAGGAGCUCCUGCUGCAUGGUGGGGGUUGGAAAGUUUCGGCGGUUGGGGAUGGACUCGCGGCUUAUCAGCUUGUUGGUGGGGUAGUGGCUUACCAAGGCUUUGACGGGUAGCCGGCCUGAGAGGGUGACCGGCCACAUUGGGACUGGGAUGCGGCCCAGACUCCUACGGGAGGGAGCAGUGGGGAAGAGUGCACAAUGGGCGGAAGCCUGAUGCAGCAACGCCGCGUGCGGUAUGACGGCCUUCGGUUUGUAAUCCGCUUUCGCCUGUGACGAAGCGUGAGUGACGGUAAUGGGUAAAGAAGCACCGGCUAACUACGUG